AUGGAAGGACUCAAAGGGGCGCUUUCCCAGCUGCAGCUGGUGGCCUCUGGCCCUGGGGUGGGGGAGGUCUCCGAGCCCCUCACACUGACCUGUGCUGUCUCCGGGUCCUCCAUCGCUGAACAGUAUUACUACCGGCACUGGGUCCGUCAGCCUCCUGGAGAAGGGCUGGAAUCCAUGGGAUGGAGCCGGCCCUGCGCGCUGCGCCCCGUCUCUCGAAGCCGAGUCACCAUCUCUACAGACACCGCCAAGAACCAGUUCUCCCUGACGCUCCGCUCGCUGACAGCUGCAGACACCGCCACCUAUUACUGCGGCAGGAGCUACACAGUAACAGAGGCACAGGGAGGUCUGGGACAAAAAGUGAGCAUCUUAAAAUGA
Non-coding RNA from Emys orbicularis (European pond turtle), 375 nucleotides. The record is from the annotation of a RefSeq genome assembly. NCBI's taxonomy places the organism in Eukaryota, Metazoa, Chordata, Testudines, Emydidae.